RNAcentral lists this ribosomal RNA (308 nucleotides) under Anophryoides haemophila. Its description in RNAcentral is "partial Bacterial small subunit ribosomal RNA". It matches the Rfam family "Bacterial small subunit ribosomal RNA", at positions 1 to 309 of the family's 1533-position model. Lineage: Eukaryota; Ciliophora; Oligohymenophorea; Philasterida; Glauconematidae. The record is from RNAcentral.
AUGGAGAGUUUGAUCCUGGCUCAGGAUGAACGCUAGCGGCAGGCCUAAUACAUGCAAGUCGAACGGUAACAGGACCAGCAAUGGUCGCUGACGAGUGGCGCACGGGUGCGUAACACGUAUGCAAUCUACCUUUAACUGGAGAAUAGCCCCGAGAAAUCGGGAUUAAUACUCCAUAAUAUUAUGAAGUGGCAUCACUUUAUAAUUAAAGCUCAGGCGGUUAAAGAUGAGCAUGCGCGAUAUUAGCUAGUUGGUGAGGUAACGGCUCACCAAGGCGACGAUACAUAGCCGACCUGAGAGGGUGAUCGGCC